GACGAACGCUGGCGGCGUGCCUAAUACAUGCAAGUUGAGCGAUGAAGAUUGGUGCUUGCACCAAUUUGAAGAGCAGCGAACGGGUGAGUAACGCGUGGGGAAUCUGCCUUUGAGCGGGGGACAACAUUUGGAAACGAAUGCUAAUACCGCAUAACAACUUUAAACAUAAGUUUUAAGUUUGAAAGAUGCAAUUGCAUCACUCAAAGAUGAUCCCGCGUUGUAUUAGCUAGUUGGUGAGGUAAAGGCUCACCAAGGCGAUGAUACAUAGCCGACCUGAGAGGGUGGUCGGCCACAUUGGGAAUUGGACACGGCCCAAACUCCUGCGGGAGGCAGCAGUAGGGAAUCUUCGGCCAUGGACGAAAGUCUGACCGGGCAACGCCGCGUGAGUGAAGAAGGUUUUCGGGUCGUAAAACUCUGUUGGUAGAGGAGAACGUUGGUGAGAGUGGAAAGCGCAUCAAGUGACGGUAACUACCCAGAAAGGGACGGCUAACUACGUG
This 497-nucleotide ribosomal RNA is filed under the name uncultured bacterium. RNAcentral's name for it is "partial 16S ribosomal RNA". It matches the Rfam family "Bacterial small subunit ribosomal RNA", at positions 28 to 507 of the family's 1533-position model. The record is from RNAcentral.